UACAGAGGUGGCAAGCGUUGUUCGGAAUUACUGGGCGUAAAGAGCGCGCAGGCGGUCGUUCAAGUCGAGUGUGAAAGCCCCCGGCUCAACUGGGGAGGGUCACUCGAUACUGAUCGACUCGAAGGCAGGAGAGGGAAGCGGAAUUCCCGGUGUAGUGGUGAAAUGCGUAGAUAUCGGGAGGAACACCAGUGGCGAAGGCGGCUUUCUGGCCUGCUCUUGACGCUGAGGCGCGAAAGCUAGGGUAGCAAACGGG
RNAcentral lists this ribosomal RNA (253 nucleotides) under uncultured bacterium. Its description in RNAcentral is "partial 16S ribosomal RNA". It matches the Rfam family "Bacterial small subunit ribosomal RNA", at positions 524 to 776 of the family's 1533-position model. The record is from RNAcentral.